UCGGAAAGAACGCCUGAUCGGAAAGAAAAUGCGUCAUGUAAACGCGCCGUUCGGAAUACUCUGCCCCGAUCAGACUCGUUCGGAUCAGAAUUUCUUUCCGAUCGAGAUAGGUGGGUUAUACCGAUCGUUUAUCCGAUCGUGGAGCAUGUAAACGGUCAUUCCGAUCAUGUGUCACUGCUGCUCUGGGUUACGUCACGCAUAGACGGUGCUUCGCUGAGAGAAAGCUUUGGACCAGCUCUGCGGACGCCCCGUGAAAAGCGCCGCUCUGCUCUCGCCCCGCUGCCUCUCUGCCUCUCCCUCCUUCACGAGGGGUAUGCAGGGCAGCAGCGCUUUGGACCAAGUGAGCAGAGGAGCCAGAUAACUUUGUGUGUGAAGGGAGGGAGGGAUGCUUAGUUACGUGUGCGUUUUGUUGUUUUGUUAUGUGUGGUAGAAUUCAGACUGCGAGCCGUCCCGCCACUCUGGGUUAGCGGCUGCAGGACUCAGGAGGAACCGUGUUUGGGGCGGUGUGUGAACGUCUCAGAGCAGAAAUAAAUGUUGCUCAGCCCUUAGAAGCUGUCCCGGCAAAAUAAAGGCCGAUGUUAUUCCCACAUAUUUACGUGCUGCCAAGAUGUAGAUUACUGCCUGUCUCGCACGGUCCUGGAUUUUGUGUCCACAAGCAAGGCUAAUGUUGUUAGCGCGUGUUUUUAGCCUGUCCUAACUCUUCCAGCUCCGUUCUUCAACAUAAAAAGCAAUGACCACACGGAUUAAAUAAACGAUGAGCGAGCAGGCGCUUCAUACUAUUCAUAACAUUAAUAAAAGCACGUUUGGAAGAUCGCCUCGUGUUACAGAGCUGCUGCACUAAAGUCUGUAGCAGCGGUCUGUUUACAACGAGGCGCAUCUCUUCUUCCGGGUUUUUUUUUUUUACCACUACUGCGCAUGCCCAAACGAUUUAUUCCGACCAAAGGUGUGAGCCAUGGGGACGCUUGUUCUAAUCGGAAAAAGGUUUUCUGAUCCCAUGUGCAGGGGUGAAUUUUAACCCGACCAUUGAUCCGAUCAAGAUAUUCUGCCCAUGUAACCGCGGCUGAAUCAACUCAUGACCGCAGCCACUUCUGAGGACGCACAGCUAGUUUGAGCUGUGUGCAGGAUCAUACUAUGCCUCUGGGAGCAUCCAGCCAGGUCUCCCCUGGGGCAUGGGACCCAGGUGCCACCAGAGAAGACUGAGGGGGUGACCAGGGAGGUGAAGAAUUGGAACAGCACUGAGGACAAGGCACUGCAGAGAAGAAAUGGCCACCCACUACAGUGGUUAAGAGGUGCCCCAUCUCCAACACAAGGUCUGCAAUCAGUUGGGCAGCCACAUUGGCCCAGCAUGU
RNAcentral lists this long non-coding RNA (1349 nucleotides) under Oryzias sinensis (Chinese medaka). RNAcentral's name for it is "lncRNA (ENSOSIG00000022984.1)". Lineage: Eukaryota; Metazoa; Chordata; Actinopteri; Beloniformes; Adrianichthyidae. The record is from RNAcentral.